CACUCGACGAGUUGGACCCCCAAACAACAUAUCUUCGUGUUUUGGUGCUGGAAUUGGUCUAUAAUCAUUACCUUUGAUGUUUUGGACUUAUAAAACCUAUUUUUUAAGUGGUAAUGAUUAUGUUAAACCAAUUUCAAUGCUAUAAUCAAAGUUUCAAGUUUUAUAUGUUUAUGUAAUUAUUGAAAAAUGUUGACUAUGAAUGUUCAUGCUUAUGAGUUUUGGUAGAUCAUAAGAAUUGUGUGCAAAUUGUUUGUUAGUAUAAUUUUUGAUCUUAAUGAAAUUGUAUGGAGUCCAUAAUUUGUCCUCAAAUUAUGGAUUACCAAGAGUUUUAUGUUUCCUUGUUCAUAUGAUUUGUUUAGAUUAAUAGAAAAAUUAUGUGAUAAUGUGUUUUCAAUCCAAAUUAAUCUAGAGUUAGUUCAUAAAAUAUGUUUUUGUAACUUGUCCUCAAGUUAUAUGAAAAUUCAUAUUUAUGAAUCUUAAAACUCAUAAAAGGUGUCAUAGGUUACAUAAAAAUGAAGAGUCUUUUUCAUUAAUUGGUUUUAUGACUCCAUAACUUGUCCUCAAGUUAUGAAUGUUGAAAAGUCACUUCAUUAAAAUUGUUAUUAAAAGAUAAGGAGUUACAUGAAAAUGAAGAGUCUUCAUUUUAAUGUACAUUAAACUCAUAAGUUAUGAAAUGAAAAGUCUUGAAUAGUUUGAAAACUUGCCCUCAAGUUUUGGAAUUUGUAAAGUUACUCUUCAUGUAUACUUUAAUUCCAAAUUGAACCCUUAGAAUUUUAAAAGUUAAAAUUCAAACUUUAUGGACUUCAUUAAAUUAAUUAAAGUGUUUAAUUAAAAGAGUUAAUGAUUUCAUAAAGAAAUGGUUUAAGUUUAAUUAAAUUAAGAGUAUAGUUUAAUUAAUAGAUUAAACCACCAAGUACUUUAAAUGUUUAAAAUACACCCUUAUACUAUUAUUAUAAUUUUAAUUAUAUAGAUAUGUAUAAGAUAAAGUCAAUCUUACCGUUAGUAGGCCUCAUUCACGAAGCCGGUAUAUAAGGGGGUAUAAGGUUACUACCUAUAAAAUGGCAGUUUAAUGGGUGUCCAUUCUCACCCACCGCUUCCUUGACUGGUGGAGGGUCAUUAUCCGAAUGGGUAAGAAAUGACUAUAAUUCUCCCUUCAUUAAAAGUAUAAUGAUAAAUACUAAGUAACUAAAUGCUUAUAAAUUACCAAUCUUAGUUGCUUAGGAAAAUGUGAAAUUGGUGCUAACCCAUAAAAUUACACUUUGUACCUUACCAAGUCGUUAGUAGAGCGUGUGUGGCUAACCGCCAUGCUAACAAAGGACUAGUAAGAGUGGCAAAGGGUAACUUGACUUUAUUAUAGAUCGGUGGAGCAUGUGUGGUUAACCGACACAUCGAUUAGGUGAUAAAGUUAAGGGUACCAAGUCAAUUUGCAUGGUUAUUCACAUAUUGUUUGUGAUCCUCGGCAUCCCUGUCACAAACUUGAGAGGGCACAAUCGAGAUUCAAACAUGCCAUUGAAAGUUCAAUGUAUCUCAAAAGAUCUAGGAGUUUCAAAUCCAAUUAAAACUUAAUUAUAUUUCAUUUUUCAUGGUGGAAAUUGGUAGAUUGUCAUUUACCUACCUUCAACUAUUUUAUAACUUGUAUUACGACAUCCCUCUUCCGGUUAUAAAUAGGUUGUUGGGUCAUAGCCUUAAUAUUUCAUAUUGGGUGUUAUAUUAAGGACUUUAAAUCAACUAACUUGAAUUUCUCCCUUGUAGAUGUCUAGUUUAGACAACUAUGGUCUUCCCAAAUCUUUAGGAACAAACUUCCUAAUGAAGAUGAUAUCCCAAAAGGCAAUCAAGGUGAAAGACUAAUCCCUUUAUUGAGCACUAAUGGGACUGGAAAUCAUACUUCAUUUCCUCCACCUCCUUCAAUAAUUCUCCCUAUCCCACAAGUUUCAAGACUUGAAUAGUUCUAAGUCACUCAAUCCCUAUUGGCAAUCAAAGUCUAUAUAUGCUUACAUCUUAGAGGUUAAGCCACAUAUUGACAAGUCGGGAGAGUCGGGUAUCAAAGUCUUGAUGAAAGUUGGCUAUUGACUGGGUUCUUUAGUCACUUCCUGAUAACAGACUAUGACAUGAACCUUAAUGAUCUUACAUGUUUUCUUGAUGACGUUGAAUCAGCUUGGAGCAUUGGUAAAGAAAAUUAUAUUGGAAGAUCUACUUCCCAAACCUAUUUGGACAUUGGCAUUGGUGACAUUGGAAGUCCAGAAAAACUUUCCCUUCCCAAUUGAAAGGGAUUGGCCAUGGUUAAGUUGUUUGACCUAAUGGUAAAGAGAAAGGCUAAGUCUUUGAUAGCCUCGUAUACCAUUUCCAAAGAGUCCAUAUGUUUCCUUUUGCCAAUAGGAGGGGCAUUGGUUGCGAAGCUGCCGAAUUUACCUAAAACCUCAUAAGGAUGGUAAAGUCAAAAGUUUGACUCUACUUCAGGUAAAGUCCGUUAUCUAAGUCUAUUAAGUCUCUUUUGGAGAUUCUUAAAACAUGAUGUAAUGUAAUUACAUUUUGAUGUUUUUGAAGAAUCAAAGGAAGCUUAAAGAAAAGGUGUGCUGAUUUUGAUCGCAUGGUUCGAUGACCAGAAUUUUGAGCCACUGCAUAAGAGUUAUGUGAUAUUGCUUAGGAAUAGAUAACAACAAAGUUUUCAUAUGAAUUUUCAUUGUAACGAUAAGUUUUCCGCAAGUUUUUAAAAUAAAGUUUUUAUUUUAUUUAUUUUAAGUAUCCUUACAAAGGCAUUUGUGAAAAAUUGUUGCUUAUAUGUUUCCAUUGAUAAGCAAUAUUGGAAAAUAAAUUUGAUUCUUUCGUUUGUGGUAGUGUCAUAAUUUAUCAAUUAAGGAAAGAUUCUCAUCACCCAAGUUUCAGUUGUAUAGAAACUUGGAAUCAUGCAAGUUGUAUUGUGUGAUGAAUGAGAAUUUUCAUCUUUGGUAAAUUAAGACUAAUUCCUUAUUCACAUCCGCAUGUGAGUCAAGCGAAGGACUAAAGGAUUGGGUACAUUAGGUUGUGCGCUAGUCAGGUCCACCACAAAGGUUGAUAAGAUUAUUUGUUAUGAUUAUUAAAGUGUAGUAAAUAUGAUUAUUCUUACAAGAUUAAGUGUAAUUCUGAAACAUUGGAAAAGUUUCAAUGUAUGGCAUAAUGAAUAAGAAGAAUCAAAUAANCUCUAAUCUGAAGAGAUGGGAGAGCACUUGAGUAUCUUGUUUAUGAUUAUCUUAGAGAUUAUGGUACCAUAUCACAAUUGAUCCUCUAAAGACACCUUAGUGCAUUUGUUUGGCUAAGGAGAGGAAUCGUGAAGUGUGGAAAUGGUCAAAUCAAAAGACAAAUCAUGCUUCGUUCCAAAACAAGUCUUAGAUUCAUACUCUAAGAUUAUAACUUGAGUGACAUAAUUUUAAGAAAGGUUUAUAAAACUUAUCAAAUGUAGAGUAACAUGUUUCUUACUCUUGUACAUUUGGGAUUGGUAAGUUGUGAUGUUUUGGAUAAGACAAAAACCAAUUAAGACCAAUUGGAAGAAGUUUUUAUCUUGAUAAGAAUCCACACUAACUCUUGAAUAUUUGUUUUGUCAAGAAUGGUUCUUGAACAAGAGAAUAUUAUAUGUCAAGAGGACAGUGGGAGUCUUAAAAGAUCUUGAGAUGGUUUCAAGAACUAAUCAAGAGUAUUGUUAAUCACUAGACCACGACUUGAGGUCUAUAACCUAUCAUGUUGACAUAUUCUUAUUUCUGUGUCUAUUCCAGUAAAAGUUGACCAUGCUUGUGAGUUCUAUGAGUUCUCAAUUGUUUGCAUAAUAACCCGGAAGCAAUGGUGGGCAUUGUGCUACCAGGUGGCAAGAAAUUAAGAUUGAACAAGAUCAGUCCAUAUGAGUUUGGAUUUGUCACUAACCUUUUCUUGUGAUUAUGGUUGACAAAUUCACAUGGAUAGGAACACUUACACCAUAAAAUCUAAGUGUCAUAAGGUUUCUCUUCGAUUCAUGAAAAUGAUGGUAAGGAAACUCUUUCACUAAGUAGAUUGCAGUUGUGAUAUUUGCAUUUUUAUGUCAUUAGUGGAGCGUGUGUGGUUAACCGGCACACGAACUAGUAAGAAUUGCAAAAGGUCUAGACAAACAUGUGAGCUAUCUAAGGAAAGGUGUAUGAUUUUGAUAAAGUCUUAUCAAAGCAUCUUGUAUCAGAAAUCUGAACUUUUGUAAGAAAGUCAAUAAAGUAUUGUUUUUCUAGAAGUCCAAUUGAUUUCUAAGUACAUGUCAAAGCUAGUGGGAGCAUAAGUGUUAUGCUAGUAAGAUAAAAAAAUUAAUAAUCAUUAUGCUAGUGGGAGCAUGAUUAUUAUAUUAAGUGUUGCAAGUAAGCAAUGUUAAUUAUAGAAAACAAAAGUUUCAAUUCGCCUUGAAAAAGUUGUUUUGCCAUAAUUAAGGGAUAGAAUUUUAUACUUCAUUUCAAUUCUACAAGCUUAGAUUGAGAUUUUAAUCUACUUUAGUCAAGUAUAUAUAAGAAUGUUAUGUUGGAAUAGUUCAACAUAAGGAAAUUCUAUAUAUAUGUUGCGUUCUAAAAAUUCGAUUAUGAUUAUGCCAUACCUCUUCAUAGUUCGAAUUGUGAGAAUAUGGCAAAUAAAAAUUUUAUAGCAUGAUUCGUGUCCCAUAUGCUUCGGGUAUAGGUUUGAUUACAUGUGCUAUAAUCCGGUCUAAAUUUUCCAAAUGCUUAGGGCAUUAAGAUGGAAAAUGGAAUAGAACUGGAAAUGACUAAAAUGAUUAAGCAAAUUCUCGAGGACAAUCCAAGGUUUAACAAAGAUUGGUUGCUCAUGGACAAUUAGAAGUAUAGAGUAAGGACCAUAUUGACAUAUUUUGAAAAUAGGCAACUCUUGUUCAAAAGUGAUGGUCAAAAUGGGAAUAUGGAAUUGUUUCCAUAGGUGGAAGUUAUUCUUUGAAUUUGUGUAGGAUUAAAGAACUUAAUGCAAAGAAGGAUGUUCAAAGGAAUGUACUUUUAAUUUGAGACUUCAUUUCCAUGGAAUUGAUUUCGAUUGGAAAUACUUUGUAAUGUUUGUUUCCAAGUCUUUGUGACUUGUGUGCAUAUUCAUUACAAGAGGAUCAUUGCAUAUAAGUUUAGAAUCUAACAGAUUAUAGUAAAUGGCAAGAGUUUGGUAUUCUUACAUUUACAAUAAGGAUUGGAAUUGUGAAAUAAGCAUCAUUGAAAUGUUGUCAAUCAAUCUGUUUCACAAAGAGAGGACCAUAUGUAAACAUAGUGUGCAUACUUGGAGUAUGGCAUAGCUAUUUUUUGGAAAAACAUAGUGUGCAUGCUUGGAGCAUGACAUGACUAUUGUUUUAUUUCAAGUAUCAAGUUGAUUAAUCGAAACAUGAAUAAUGAGUAAUAAAUAUGGUUCUUAGAUAAAAGGGUUUUAUUUACACUCAAGAGUUUGGGGCCAUAUAGGAUUAAGUAUUAUUCUUGUGUUUCACUUUGCAUGUUUUGACUUCCAGAAUAACUAGGUCGUUCUUCCUGAAUGCCUAAGUUGUUCAAACCAUCCUCAGUCGGUCAUAUGUUGGAAGUAGAGAUGAAUCAAGACUGUCAUGAAUCUGGAUUGUAUGAUUUGUCUAAUGUGCAUUAGACAUAGCAAUGGUUGCUGCAACAUUCAUGAGUACUCAUAAGGCCUGAGUAUUAGAUUCAACCCACGCUCAUUUGGAUUCACUUCAUGGAUUUUAUCACGAGUGAAUCGUGAGACGAUAAUAUCUUAUAUUCUUUAAACCUAGAGAUAUGAGUUGUUGACUAUUAGUUGGUUAUACAUUGAUUGCAUGAGAACGCAUUGGUAACUCGAUGUUAUAAAACAUGCCUUUGUGUAUGACUCAACAAGUAGUCAAUACAAGCAUAUGAGUCGAAGUUUAUCCAUUCCUUUUACCCUCAAAGGGAUAAAAGCAAUAUCUAUGGGCCCCUCGAUAAUUUAGUGAUGACAAAACGUAAGUGCUCGGCCGGGCCUGGACUGAUUUGAUUUGUUCAAUUAGUCAGUCGUCAUGAAUCGGAAAAUUAGGAAACAACAAAUGGACAAAGAGAAUGAUUAUAAUCCAUGUCUCAGUCCAUAUGAUAUCUUGAAUGGAGGAAUAUAUGAUCACUUAUCUAAUGGACGCGUCAUUGAUUUGUUCAGAGUUCGACAACGGCUUUUGAGAGCUACGAUUGCUAGUCGGGUUAUGAAGUCGUACUUGCAAUAAUAGUUUUAGACUUAUCCAAGUUAGAGACUGUUGGAUUAGUGUCUAAGUCCAUAACUAUAACCGAUAUAUACUUGACCCGACCCGGCAUGGUCCAUUUGGGUUGCAUGGCAUCAUGCAUUUGGAUAGACUAAAAUGAGAGAAAUAACACUUAAGGUUUAUUAAUAUAUUAUAAGUUCUAAUAUAUUAAUAAGAUUAUUUAAUUAGUAUUGAUCAAGAAUUAAUCUAGAAUUAAUUAAGUGAUCAAAAGACGACUAAUUAAAUAUAUGGGUUGAUUGUGUAAAUCAUCCAUACUUAUAUAGUGGGCUAAUGCUCCAUGGAUUAUCAAGUUGGGCUAAAACCCAUAGAAUGCUCCAUGGAUGCUCCAUGGUGUAUUUGAACCCAUGGAUCCAAGGAAAUGGAAAGCCAUGACAAUUAGGGUUUACCCUAAUUGUGUCACACUAUAUAAGCAUAUCAUUCUUGUCAAAAUCGGCCACUAAGUCUAUGUAUGGAGGGCAAGCCGAUUUCAUGAAGUGAUGAUUUCUCUCUAAGUUAUUCCAAGUGCAUUUGAUGUUGUGUGAACCAUUUGAGGUGUCACACUCAGGGCACUAGGCUCUCAAUCUACAUGGAAUCAAGCACCAACAAAGAGGUAUGUCAUUCUACUAGUUUUAUAUUAUUUGUACUUUAUAUUAUGCUAGUUAGGACAAUACCUUGGAAAUUGAUAUUUGCAUGUAUAAUAGAGAAAAAAUAGAUCCAAGGUAUUUAGGGUUGCAUGUACACCAUAGGAGUGUUAGAAUGCUCAAAACCCAACAUACAGAACAUCACGAUGUCCUGCCUCAAACACUGAUCUUCUACUUACAACAUCAUACACCGUCACAUCACUGCGUUCCCUCAGAAUCUCAUAACUAAUCUUCAUUUCGCACAAUGCGCAACUUCGGAGUAUCCCUACUCCCAACUGAAACAUGGAGGAAUCGUCAAUGACUCAGAACAUGCUGAAGAUGAUCCGAAGCUUCCUUCUAUAUUGCUCCAAACUCAUGUAAGAAUACUCAUAACGACCCUGAAGUCGUUUGCCUAAUCAACUUCUUCCCCCUUCCCAGACUCCAUAUCACUGCCCAUACAUUGGACCAGAAUUCUCUCCACUAUCGGACUAUUCUUACGAGCCAACCACUUCGAGAUCACCUUUAUAACCUCGAAGAAUUCCUAACCACCACAAGGUCUCCGACCAACGGUCACUUGCCAUGGAGACACUCAUUCGUUCUCAACGUGAACCACAUGCAUUAUCUCGCUCUGCACCUUGCCUCGACCAUCAAUAACCAUGGUCUCAUGAAUCUAUGUCGCAGAUCUCUAUAUCCAGUUCUCUAACCGCUUUCGAACAUAUCUCUGAUUCUCUCAAAAAAUACCCAGUUCUCCCCCACUUAGAGUUCGAACCAUCACCAAUUGGCGCACUAACAAUCUAUCCUACAGACUGUUUCCACCAAUAACAUCGCACCUACUCCUGGAAGGUGCUACGCAACGCUAGAUGAUCUCCACGAUAGGGAUAAAGCAACUCCAAUAACCCGAAUCUCAUAUGAAAUCCUCCGACGCUUUUCAUCAUGACUGCCUCUUAGUCAUUCAGAAUCUCAUACUAUUCAACUACCAGAAAACUUAAUCGUCCAGUAAGAACCCUGACUCUCAGUCCAGAGAUAAUGAAUCACCAUACUCCUCAUCCUCGACUUCUCAACCAACAUUCCAACACAUGAAUCAUAACCAGAACAGGGACUCCAUUCCCACCCUCGAUACCCGUCAUAGACAAAAGAGCCACCGCCCCGAUAUACUCUUAUAGAUUAUCCGCUGCUACAGCUAACAUAUGCCUUACUAUACUCAAGUAGGGUGCAUCCUGGUGUUGGAUAAGGUGUCUAAAUCCAUAACUUAUUUGGUAUAUACUUGACCCGACCCGACAUGGUCCAUUUGGGUUGCAUUUCAUCCAAACUAUUUAUGGAUAAUUUUAUGAGAGUUAUACACAUAUGUUUAUUAAUAUAUUGUAAGUUAUAAUAUAUUAAUAUGAAGUUAUUUAAUUAGUGUUAGUCUUAAAUUAAUUAUGAAUUAAUUUAGAGAUUAAAAGGAAGACUAAUUAAAUUGUGGGCUAUUGUUUUAUAUGGUGUGGGCUAAUACUCAUUAGUUAAUGGGCUAGGCUUAUAUGGAAGUCCAUGGAUGAUCCAUGGAGCUUUUAACCCAUGGAUCCUUGGGAAAGGAAAAGUCAUGGGUUAUUAGGGUUUCACCCUAAUCAUGUACACUAUAUAAGCAUGCUUAUGUUGCAUGAAAUAGCCCCUAGUGGCACUAGUUGUGUGAGACGUAGGUGUGGCCGAUUUCUAUGUGUGUAUACACUCUCUCAAAGUUUUCCAAGUGUUUGUGGUGAUUUGUGAUUCCAUUUGAGGCAUUCACACUAUUGGUGUUUGGCCCUCAAACUCCUUAAGAAUCAAGCUCAUCAAAAAGGUAUGUAAUCUCAUCUAAUUCUUUUAUGUUUAAAAGUACCCCAUGCCAUGUUAGAUAGGUUAUGAACCUUGGAAAAUUAUUAUUUUGCAUGUAUUUAGACAAACAUAGAUCCAAGGUUUAUUAGGGUUGCAUGCACACUUAGGAAGUGUUAGAUUGCUCAAAACCCAACAGUGGUAUCAGAGCCUAGGCUUGCUUGUUUGAUACUUGAUGCAAAAUAGUGAAAAAAGUUGAAAUUGUUGCUGUCUGGCUGAUGGACUNUAGAUUGCUCAAAACCCAACAGUGGUAUCAGAGACUAGGCUUGUUUUCUUGAAUACUUGAUGCAGAUUGCUGAAAAUCGAAGUUUAUGUGCUGUCUGCACAGCAGACUCGCCGAGUCCAUGAAGGGUCUCGACGAGUCCAAGGCAAAACUCAUCCAACUCGGCGAGUUGGUUCAUGCACUCAACAAGUUGGACCCCCAGACAACAUAUCUUCGAGGUUUGGUGUUGGAAUUGGUCUAGAGUCAUUACCUUAAACUGUUUUGAUCUUAUAAAACUUGUUUUUGAUGUGGUAAUGAUGAUGGUGGACUAAUUUCAAAGUUAUAAUCAAAAUUUCAAGUUUAUAUGUGUUCAUAUGAUUCUUGAAAUUGUUGAUGUGGAUGUUCAUGUUCAUAUGAGUUUUGUUAGAUCAUAGGAAUUAUUUGCAAAUUGUUUGUUAGUUAAUUCUUGAUCUUAAUGUGUUUUAAUGGAAUUCUUAAUUUGUCCUCAAGUUAUGGAAUUCCAAGAGUUUUUCUUUUAAAUGUUUUUUAGAAGUUGUAGGUUACAUUUUCUUGAAGAGUUUUUCCCAUAAAUGCUUUUAUGGACUUCAUAACUUGUCCUCAAGUUAUGGAUUUCCAAGAGACUCUUCAUUAAAAGCUUUAAAACACUUAAUUAAAACUCAUAAGUUAUGAAUAUCCAAAAGUUUAUGAAUUGUUCAAAACUUGCCCUCAAGUUUUGGAAUUUGUAAAGUCUCACACAAACUUUAAUUCCAUACCCUAGAAGUUUUAAAAGUUAAAAUUCUACCCUUAUACUAUUN
This 9693-nucleotide long non-coding RNA is filed under the name Lactuca sativa (garden lettuce). Its description in RNAcentral is "long non-coding RNA (LSAT_LNC008020)". The record is from RNAcentral. Lineage: Eukaryota; Viridiplantae; Streptophyta; Magnoliopsida; Asterales; Asteraceae.